RNAcentral lists this unclassified non-coding RNA (498 nucleotides) under uncultured Glomus. RNAcentral's name for it is "SSU rRNA". It matches the Rfam family "Eukaryotic small subunit ribosomal RNA", at positions 591 to 1092 of the family's 1831-position model. Lineage: Eukaryota; Fungi; Glomeromycota; Glomeromycetes; Glomerales; Glomeraceae. The record is from RNAcentral.
CCAAUAGCGUAUAUUAAAGUUGUUGCAGUUAAAAAGCUCGUAGUUGAAUUUCGGGAUUAGUACGCUGGUCGUGCCUUCGGUAUGUACUGGUGUUACUGGUUCCUACCUUCUGACGAACCGUCAUGUCAUUAAUUUGGUGUGGCGGGAAAUCAGGACUGUUACUUUGAAAAAAUUAGAGUGUUUAAAGCAGGCUCGCGCUUGAAUACAUUAGCAUGGAAUAAUGAAAUAGGACGUUCGAUCCUAUUUUGUUGGUUUCUAGGAUUGACGUAAUGAUUAAUAGGGAUAGUUGGGGGCAUUAGUAUUCAAUUGUCAGAGGUGAAAUUCUUGGAUUUAUUGAAGACUAACUACUGCGAAAGCAUUUGCCAAGGAUGUUUUCAUUAAUCAAGAACGAAAGUUAGGAGAUCGAAGACGAUCAGAUACCGUCGUAGUCUUAACCAUAAACUAUGCCGACUAGGGAUCGGAUGAUGUUAUUUUUAAUGACUCAUUCGGCGCCUUACG